AGCCCUAAAUCUUGAUGGCCCCCAAACACAAACAUCCGCCUGAGAACUACGAGCACAAACGCUUAAAACUCUAAGGACUUGGCGGUGCUCUAAACCCACCUAGAGGAGCCUGUUCUGUAAUCGAUAACCCACGAUUCACCCGACCACUUCUUGCCAAAACAGCCUAUAUACCGCCGUCACCAGCCCACCUCGUGAGAGCACAACAGUGAGCCCAACAGCCCACAGUCCACUAACAAGACAGGUCGAGGUAUAGCCUAUGAAGUGGGAGAAAUGGGCUACAUUUUCUAAAAUAGAAAACCCAACGAAAGGGGACUUGAAACCUGUCCCCAGAAGGCGGAUUUAGCAGUAAAGCAGGAUAACCAAGCCUCCUUUAAGUCGGUCCUAGAGCA
Molecule: ribosomal RNA, 389 nt
Filed under: Ara ararauna (blue-and-yellow macaw)
Lineage: Eukaryota; Metazoa; Chordata; Aves; Psittaciformes; Psittacidae
Description: partial 12S ribosomal RNA
Rfam family: Bacterial small subunit ribosomal RNA
Source: RNAcentral